Glycine soja is the source of this 139-nucleotide non-coding RNA. NCBI's taxonomy places the organism in Eukaryota, Viridiplantae, Streptophyta, Magnoliopsida, Fabales, Fabaceae. The record is from Rfam.
UUCUUAUUGGAUUAUAACUGUCACGUGUCAUGUUCAUUGGAUGUCAACUCCAUGAAAGAUGAAAUACAUUAUUGCUUUCAUUGACCAACACGUGGUAGUUAUCAUCCAAUAAGAACGUGACACGUGGUAGUCAAAAUCA